This 434-nucleotide long non-coding RNA is filed under the name Rattus norvegicus (Norway rat). RNAcentral describes it as "long non-coding RNA NONRATT008612". Lineage: Eukaryota; Metazoa; Chordata; Mammalia; Rodentia; Muridae. The record is from RNAcentral.
CAAGCCAACUUUUCUCAGCAUUCUCAACAGAGCAAAGAAAUCUCAAAUUAUCUGGAAGGAAACUGGUCCAUGAAAGCAGAGCAACUAUCCAGACAAUUGCUGAUACAGAUUGCUGUCCUCAACAGCACUAGGCUGGACCCCAUCACAAUUGAAGACUUUACCUCAUGGAUUACCAAUGCUUUCUCCUUUUUUAAGGAGUGGGCGGGCAUGUUUGCCUGGGGAGCUAUUGUCCUCCUGGGAUGCGGAGUAUGUCUCUGGCUUAUUGGCCGUUUAAAAAGAGAACAUGCCAGACACAAAGCGAUUGUUUACCAGACUAUGACUGCCAUUGACAAUGGUGCUUCUCCCAAUGUAUGGCUGGCCUCUUUGAAAGAUUAAGAGUUCGCCCUAGAUCAUUUUUGUCACAGUCAUGUGGGGUCAUUGUAUCCAGGGACGGG